ACCUCAUGGUUUGGACAUUGUGUUAGUUUUUCGUUGAAUAUUUCCCACACUUCAUACAAGGGUUCUCCAUCCAAUUUCCCAAAGCUAAUGAUCUCAUCCCUCAAUUU
This 107-nucleotide small nucleolar RNA is filed under the name Capsicum annuum. Its description in RNAcentral is "Plant small nucleolar RNA R71". It matches the Rfam family "Plant small nucleolar RNA R71". Rfam says of the family: R71 is a member of the C/D box family of snoRNAs containing the C (UGAUGA) and D (CUGA) box motifs. Multiple nearly identical copies of this snoRNA have been identified in Arabidopsis, and it is thought to function as a 2'-O-ribose methylation guide for 18S ribosomal RNA. Lineage: Eukaryota; Viridiplantae; Streptophyta; Magnoliopsida; Solanales; Solanaceae. The record is from Rfam by way of RNAcentral.